This is a long non-coding RNA of Acipenser ruthenus (sterlet), 571 nucleotides long. RefSeq lists it as uncharacterized. The record is from RefSeq and is a predicted model, not a curated record. Lineage: Eukaryota; Metazoa; Chordata; Actinopteri; Acipenseriformes; Acipenseridae. The transcript is spliced from 3 exons.
UUACGGUAGCGGGUCAUUCUGAACUCCACACAGUUUAAACCUGAGGAAUUGAUGAUAUCUCCCUGUCGAUUUGGAGGGGCAAGUUUGCUUGCCUGGUUGUUUGUUUCCAGUUUACUCGCUGUUGCUUCGGGAAGACUCGAGGAUUAAUAAGACUGAGGCUGUUUCUGGUGUUUCAGACAGGAUAGACCUGAAGCAACGUUUACAAUGAUUUAUGUCAGCGAACGUGCACUCGACAGGAUGUUAUCUUUGAUACUUCUAGUAAUAGUGGUUCUGUCCUGGGGAUAUGUCAUCUAUGCAACAAGAAUCGCAGCAAAGUGGCAACUGGAAAAGCAAUUCAAGACCACAAACUGAACUCUCAAUUUGGAACUGAAUGUAAACAUGAAUGAAACCAGAUGCAUCAGAAAGCUUGUGUCAGAAACUCGGAUGUUUAAAACAACAACAACAAUAAAAAAGUGAUUUUACAAUUUAUGCUCAACUGAUCCUUUUUCAUUAAAUAUGGUUUAAUCAAAAUAUAUAUGGAAAAUGAUAUUGUAAAUAGUGUGCAUGUAAAAUAAAACUAUUUAAAAAAUAA